This 84-nucleotide transfer RNA is filed under the name Hariotina sp. MMOGRB0030F. RNAcentral's name for it is "tRNA-Tyr". It matches the Rfam family "tRNA". From Rfam's summary of the family: Transfer RNA (tRNA) molecules are approximately 80 nucleotides in length. Their secondary structure includes four short double-helical elements and three loops (D, anti-codon, and T loops). The record is from RNAcentral. Lineage: Eukaryota; Viridiplantae; Chlorophyta; Chlorophyceae; Sphaeropleales; Scenedesmaceae.
AGCACGAUGACUGAGCGGUCAAAGGUAACGGGUUGUAAACCCGCUGACACAUUGUCUACGUAGGUUCGAAUCCUACUUGUGCUA